Molecule: long non-coding RNA, 495 nt
Organism: Hemicordylus capensis (graceful crag lizard)
Lineage: Eukaryota; Metazoa; Chordata; Lepidosauria; Squamata; Cordylidae
Exons: 4
Source: RefSeq, a predicted model, not a curated record
GGAGAAGGAGCCUGUGAUGGUUAAGUUUUCAAUCUGUGGAUCAACAUGUCCCUUAAUCUCAUGACUGUUAUGUUUACUCAAGAGUUUUUGAUGGGGGACCUUAUCAAAAGCUUUUUGACAGUCCAAAUAUACUCUGUCAACUGGAUCACCUCUAUCCACGUGCUGUUGAGUUCAACCGCUGUUCAACACCAAAAGUUGGUAAAAGAAUAGAAGAUCAAGAAUUCGAAUAGAUUGCCCAGUUUGAACAUUACCUUCGGAAUGAGACAAACACCUCUAGAAGCUAUACUGCAAGGUCUCACAGGAAUAUGGAACAAGAAGUGUACAAUAUAUAGCUGCGAUCCAGAAAUUAUAGACUUCAACAGCUAGUUAAGUUUCUCAGAGUUUUUCUGAUCUUCCAUUUCCUUCAACAUGCAAACAGUUUGUCCAGCCUUCCACAAACUCCAAAGUUAGUGGUUGAUAAAUAUGCAUACUGAAUGGGUGCGAGGUCAAGAUAAU